GUGGGGAAUAUUGGACAAUGGGGGGAACCCUGAUCCAGCCAUGCCGCGUGUGUGAAGAAGGCCUUUUGGUUGUAAAGCACUUUAAGCGAGGAGGAGGCUACCGAGAUUAAUACUCUUGGAUAGUGGACGUUACUCGCAGAAUAAGCACCGGCUAACUCUGUGCCAGCAGCCGCGGUAAUACAGAGGGUGCGAGCGUUAAUCGGAUUUACUGGGCGUAAAGCGUGCGUAGGCGGCUUUUUAAGUCGGAUGUGAAAUCCCCGAGCUUAACUUGGGAAUUGCAUUAGAUACUGGGAGGCUAGAGUAUGGGAGAGGAUGGUAGAAUUCCAGGUGUAGCGGUGAAAUGCGUAGAGAUCUGGAGGAAUACCGAUGGCGAAGGCAGCCAUCUGGCCUAAUACUGACGCUGAGGUACGAAAGCAUGGGGAGCAAACAGGAUUAGAAACCCGAGUAGUCC
Molecule: ribosomal RNA, 451 nt
Filed under: uncultured bacterium
Lineage: Bacteria
Description: bacterial SSU rRNA
Rfam family: Bacterial small subunit ribosomal RNA
Source: RNAcentral